GAGUUUGAUCGUGGCUCAGAUUGAACGCUGGCGGCAUGCCUUACACAUGCAAGUCGAACGGCAGCAUGAUCUAGCUUGCUAGAUUGAUGGCGAGUGGCGAACGGGUGAGUAAUACAUCGGAACGUGCCCUGUAGUGGGGAUAACUAGUCGAAAGAUUAGCUAAUACCGCAUACGACCUGAGGGUGAAAGUGGGGGACCGCAAGGCCUCAUGCUAUAGGAGCGGCCGAUGUCUGAUUAGCUAGUUGGUGGGGUAAAGGCCCGACCAAGGCGACGAUCAGUAGCUGGUCUGAGAGGACGAUCAGCCACACUGGGACUGAGACACGGCCCAGACUCCUACGGAGGCAGCAGUGGGAAUUUGGCAAUGGCGAAAGCCUGAUCCAGCAAUGCCGCGUGUGUGAAGAAGGCCUCGG
RNAcentral lists this ribosomal RNA (410 nucleotides) under uncultured microorganism. Its description in RNAcentral is "bacterial SSU rRNA". It matches the Rfam family "Bacterial small subunit ribosomal RNA", at positions 9 to 420 of the family's 1533-position model. The record is from RNAcentral.